This 138-nucleotide microRNA precursor is filed under the name Vigna radiata var. radiata (mung bean). RNAcentral describes it as "pre miRNA MIR530". The record is from RNAcentral. Lineage: Eukaryota; Viridiplantae; Streptophyta; Magnoliopsida; Fabales; Fabaceae.
CCCAAUAAGUUGCCUUUAUCUGCAUUUGCACCUGCGCUUUGUUUGGUUUCUCUGGAACAUAGCAAGAACCUGUGAAAACAAAGAAAAAGUGAGCAGGCACAAGGUGCAGGUGCAUCUGCAGCUGAAUGCCAUAUUGGA